UGUAAUUUUGUAAUGUCAUAUAUCCUGAAAUAAUUGUUUUGUGCGAUGAAAGUUAACUAUUCUGCUAAAUGGAGCAAUAAUUUCUAAUUACUAGUAAACAAUUUACGAGAUAAAAUACGACAAAUGUUAAUAACGUCUGUUAUAUAGUAUCUUUGAUAUUACAUGAGACCUUUACUAUAUAUUUAGAUACGGAGAGAAGAUUUCCAUUUUUUAUAACACUUCCUCUAUCUGUCAUAGUAGCAGGUGUUUUGAUUAUAAUUACGCUGAUAUUGCUGAUGGCUAUAAUCAAUAUUAGAUCAUUUAGACGAAUAAGCAUUUACAAAGAUAAGCUCAAAAAGUAAAUGAAAGGUUACCUGGUACAGAGUUUUCGACUUAUACUGGAAUCGAAGAAAAUAACGAAGAGCUAAAUAAUCUCGGGUAUAACGAAUUGGUUGUUAGUACGUCACACCGUUGUGCUGAAUGCCAUGACAUUUAAAUGGACACAAGAGCCGACGCGAUGGAAUACCAGGGUUAUCUUGUUCCUGAACAGCAUAACCAUACAAUACCGGAAACGGAUGUUCUUUACGCAAACAAUAUUGCAGUCAAUUGAUAUUAAGAAUCUGUUACAAACUAGCGUUUGUAAGUUGGUUUAUACUUAGCAUGUAUUGUAAUAGACAAAGAGAUAGAGAAGAUAAUGAAAAUAUAAACAUAUA
Long non-coding RNA from Mytilus californianus (California mussel), 692 nucleotides. RefSeq lists it as uncharacterized. The record is from RefSeq and is a predicted model, not a curated record. NCBI's taxonomy places the organism in Eukaryota, Metazoa, Mollusca, Bivalvia, Mytilida, Mytilidae. The transcript has 3 exons.